Molecule: non-coding RNA, 1151 nt
Organism: Biomphalaria pfeifferi
Lineage: Eukaryota; Metazoa; Mollusca; Gastropoda; Planorbidae
Source: the annotation of a GenBank genome assembly
CUUUUUAUUUCCCUAGUUUUAUUUACAGAUCAUUGCAUUGAAAGACAUGUGCUCACGACUUUAAAGAAGACUUUUGUGAACAAAUUUUGUGCCAGCCUAAAGAACUGAACUGUCACUGAAAAUGUUUGAGAGAACUAGAUGCAUACAAUGAUGUAUUGGCAUAAACAAAAAACAGCAAUCCCUAAAGUAAUUGCAAGACCAUGUAAUGAUUACAUUUGUACUUUACAUAAAUAAUAAAUACUGGGCAAUAUUAAAUACAUAACGAUAUGCCUUGUUGGUAACAACAACAAAAAAUACAAUGGCAACCUAAGUGAACACACACACACAUAUAUAUAUAUAUGUAUAUAUUAGGGGUGCACCGGAUAGUCACUCCGGCUCCGGCUUCUGCCGAAUAUCCGGCAUUAUUUACUAUCCGGUGCUAUUCGGCUCCGGUCGGAUAUCACUACCGGAUAGUAAAAAAUAUACCUAUUUAAUAUGCCUAAAGUGGACCUCGUUCCAUUAAUGUCUGUUGCAGAAUGAAUUAAUGUUAAUAUUAAAACAAAAUAAUGUGCUUAAAUAUAGAGCCAUUAUGAAUAUGCACCAAACAUCGUUUAUUAUAAAGACAAAGCAUGUUAAUAACUUAAUAUAAAUAGAAAUGAAACUUUACAUCAUAAAUGCGCUUUACAUACAGAGCAGCAAUGGCUGACACUUUUUUCAAUUUGUCUUGACCUUUGAGUGUAACGUGUUAAAAUGCUAUAUUCCUUGACUACGUCAUGCUGACCAGACGUCUGUCUAGCUGUGCUGGUAUAUCUUCAGAGGUAGAGAUGAACAACUCCCACCCCUUUUAUUUGCUUAGUCCAUCACAUUAAGUUUUUUUUUUAUAUGCAGAUGACCACAAGUUAAAUACGAUGGAUGUAGGUUUCAUGUCAGCGUAUUGACACUCUCUAGAGGUCACGCCUUUUGAGGGAACUGAGUUUGUUUAUUUAGUAGUUAAUCUUUAUUAGGGGGGCUGGACUACAAGAGCCACACCUCUAAGGUAACUAGGACUAGGUAUAUUUCCAGAUGAGCAGCUCCCUCCCCCUUUUAUUUGUUUAGUUCAUCACAUGAGUUCAUUGAUUGACAGGUGACCCCAAGUCAGAUCUUAAUUGGGGGGGGGGGGGGGGGGGGGGGGA